Molecule: ribosomal RNA, 915 nt
Filed under: Methylophilales bacterium 16-45-9
Lineage: Bacteria; Pseudomonadati; Pseudomonadota; Betaproteobacteria; Nitrosomonadales
Description: bacterial LSU rRNA
Rfam family: Bacterial large subunit ribosomal RNA
Source: RNAcentral
AAACGGCGGCCGUAACUAUAACGGUCCUAAGGUAGCGAAAUUCCUUGUCGGGUAAGUUCCGACCCGCACGAAUGGCGUAACGAUGGCCACACUGUCUCCUCUCGGGACUCAGCGAAGUUGAAAUGUUUGUGAAGAUGCAAUCUACCCGCGGCUAGACGGAAAGACCCCAUGAACCUUUACUGUAGCUUUACAUUGGACUUUGACAAGAUUUGUGUAGGAUAGGUGGGAGACUAUGAAGCGGUGUCGCUAGAUAUCGUGGAGUCAACCUUGAAAUACCACCCUGAUGUUGUUGAGGUUCUAACCUAGGUCCAUAAUCUGGACUGGGGACCGUGUAUGGUGGGCAGUUUGACUGGGGCGGUCUCCUCCCAAAGAGUAACGGAGGAGUGCGAAGGUAACCUAGGUACGGUCGGAAAUCGUACUGAUAGUGCAAUGGCAUAAGGUUGCUUGACUGCGAGACGGACAGGUCGAGCAGGUGCGAAAGCAGGUCAUAGUGAUCCGGUGGUUCUGUAUGGAAGGGCCAUCGCUCAACGGAUAAAGGUCCCAAGGGUAUGGCUGUUCGCCAUUUAAAGUGGUACGUGAGCUGGGUUUAAAACGUCGUGAGACAGUUUGGUCCCUAUCUGCCGUGGGCGUUGGAAAUUUGAAGGGACCUGCUCCUAGUACGAGAGGACCGGAGUGGACAGAUCUCUGGUGGACCGGUUAUCACGCCAGUGGUAUAGCCGGGUAGCUAAAUCUGGAAGAGAUAAACGCUGAAAGCAUCUAAGCGUGAAACUCGCCUUGAGAUGAGAUUUCCCUGGGGGUUUAACCCCCCUAAAGAGUCGUUCGAGACCAGGACGUUGAUAGGACGGAUGUGGAAGCGCAGUAAUGCGUUAAGCUGACCGUUACUAAUUGCUCGUGAGGCUUGAUCCUAUAACCUUA